UCAGUAACACGUAGUCAACAUGCCCAGGGGACGUGGAUAACCUCGGGAGACUGAGGAUAAACCGCGAUAGGCCAUGAUUUCUGGAAUGGUUCAUGGCCGAAACCUAUAUGGCCCCUGGAUUGGACUGCGGCCGAUCAGGCUGUUGGUGAGGUAAUGGCCCACCAAACCUGUAACCGGUACGGGCUCUGAGAGGAGGAGCCCGGAGAUGGGCACUGAGACAAGGGCCCAGGCCCUAUGGGGCGCAGCAGGCGCGAAAUCUCUGCAAUAGGCGAAAGCUUGACAGGGUUACUCUGAGUGGUUCCCGUUAAGGGGAUCUUUUGGCACCUUUAAAACAUGGUGCAGAAUAAGGGGUGGGCAAGUCUGGUGCCAGCC
RNAcentral lists this ribosomal RNA (372 nucleotides) under unidentified archaeon. RNAcentral describes it as "bacterial SSU rRNA". It matches the Rfam family "Archaeal small subunit ribosomal RNA", at positions 90 to 463 of the family's 1478-position model. The record is from RNAcentral.